Molecule: ribosomal RNA, 253 nt
Filed under: uncultured bacterium
Lineage: Bacteria
Description: partial 16S ribosomal RNA
Rfam family: Bacterial small subunit ribosomal RNA
Source: RNAcentral
UACGUAGGUGGCGAGCGUUGUCCGGAUUUACUGGGCGUAAAGAGCGCGCAGGCGGUCGUUCAAGUCGCGUGUGAAAGCCCCCGGCUCAACUGGGGAGGGUCACGCGAUACUGAUCGACUCGAAGGCAGGAGAGGGUAGUGGAAUUCCCGGUGUAGUGGUGAAAUGCGUAGAUAUCGGGAGGAAUACCGGUGGCGAAGGCGGCAUCCUGGACCGACAUUGACGCUGAACGGCGAAAGCUAGGGGAGCGAACUGG